Molecule: ribosomal RNA, 2771 nt
Filed under: Cronobacter sakazakii
Lineage: Bacteria; Pseudomonadati; Pseudomonadota; Gammaproteobacteria; Enterobacterales; Enterobacteriaceae
Description: bacterial LSU rRNA
Rfam family: Bacterial large subunit ribosomal RNA
Source: RNAcentral
AGCGUACACGGUGGAUGCCCUGGCAGUCAGAGGCGAUGAAGGACGUGCUAAUCUGCGAAAAGCGCCGGUAAGGUGAUAUGAACCGUUAUAACCGGCGAUGUCCGAAUGGGGAAACCCGGUGCACUUCGGUGCAUCAUCGUUAGCUGAAUACAUAGGCUAACGAGGCGAACCGGGGGAACUGAAACAUCUAAGUACCCCGAGGAAAAGAAAUCAACCGAGAUUCCCCCAGUAGCGGCGAGCGAACGGGGAACAGCCCAGAGCCUGAAUCAGCUUGUGUGUCAGUGGAACGGUCUGGAAAGGCCGGCGAUACAGGGUGACAGCCCCGUACACGAAGGCACACAGGCUGUGAGCUCGAUGAGUAGGGCGGGACACGUGAUAUCCUGUCUGAAGAUGGGGGGACCAUCCUCCAAGGCUAAAUACUCCUGACUGACCGAUAGUGAACCAGUACCGUGAGGGAAAGGCGAAAAGAACCCCGGCGAGGGGAGUGAAACAGAACCUGAAACCGUGUACGUACAAGCAGUGGGAGCCUUCGUAAGAGGGUGACUGCGUACCUUUUGUAUAAUGGGUCAGCGACUUAUAUUCUGUAGCAAGGUUAACCGUAUAGGGGAGCCGAAGGGAAACCGAGUCUUAAUUGGGCGUUAAGUUGCAGGGUAUAGACCCGAAACCCGGUGAUCUAGCCAUGGGCAGGUUGAAGGUUGGGUAACACUAACUGGAGGACCGAACCGACUAAUGUUGAAAAAUUAGCGGAUGACCUGUGGCUGGGGGUGAAAGGCCAAUCAAACCGGGAGAUAGCUGGUUCUCCCCGAAAGCUAUUUAGGUAGCGCCUCGUGAACUCAUCUCCGGGGGUAGAGCACUGUUUCGGCUAGGGGGCCAUCCCGGCUUACCAACCCGAUGCAAACUGCGAAUACCGGAGAAUGUUAUCACGGGAGACACACGGCGGGUGCUAACGUCCGUCGUGAAGAGGGAAACAACCCAGACCGCCAGCUAAGGUCCCAAAGUCAUGGUUAAGUGGGAAACGAUGUGGGAAGGCCCAGACAGCCAGGAUGUUGGCUUAGAAGCAGCCAUCAUUUAAAGAAAGCGUAAUAGCUCACUGGUCGAGUCGGCCUGCGCGGAAGAUGUAACGGGGCUAAACCAUGCACCGAAGCUGCGGCAGCGACACUAUGUGUUGUUGGGUAGGGGAGCGUUCUGUAAGCCUGUGAAGGUGUGCUGUGAGGCAUGCUGGAGGUAUCAGAAGUGCGAAUGCUGACAUAAGUAACGAUAAAGCGGGUGAAAAGCCCGCUCGCCGGAAGACCAAGGGUUCCUGUCCAACGUUAAUCGGGGCAGGGUGAGUCGACCCCUAAGGCGAGGCCGAAAGGCGUAGUCGAUGGGAAACAGGUUAAUAUUCCUGUACUUGGUGUUACUGCGAAGGGGGGACGGAGAAGGCUAUGUCGGCCGGGCGACGGUUGUCCCGGUUUAAGCGUGUAGGCUGACUUUCCAGGCAAAUCCGGAGAGUUAAGGCUGAGGCGUGAUGACGAGGCACCACGGUGCUGAAGUGACAAAUGCCCUGCUUCCAGGAAAAGCCUCUAAGCAUCAGGUAACAUCAAAUCGUACCCCAAACCGACACAGGUGGUCAGGUAGAGAAUACCAAGGCGCUUGAGAGAACUCGGGUGAAGGAACUAGGCAAAAUGGUGCCGUAACUUCGGGAGAAGGCACGCUGACAUGUAGGUGAAGCCCCUGCGGGUGGAGCUGAAGUCAGUCGAAGAUACCAGCUGGCUGCAACUGUUUAUUAAAAACACAGCACUGUGCAAACACGAAAGUGGACGUAUACGGUGUGACGCCUGCCCGGUGCCGGAAGGUUAAUUGAUGGGGUUAUCGCAAGAGAAGCUCCUGAUCGAAGCCCCGGUAAACGGCGGCCGUAACUAUAACGGUCCUAAGGUAGCGAAAUUCCUUGUCGGGUAAGUUCCGACCUGCACGAAUGGCGUAAUGAUGGCCAGGCUGUCUCCACCCGAGACUCAGUGAAAUUGAACUCGCUGUGAAGAUGCAGUGUACCCGCGGCAAGACGGAAAGACCCCGUGAACCUUUACUACAGCUUGACACUGAACAUUGAGCCUUGAUGUGUAGGAUAGGUGGGAGGCUUUGAAGCGUGGACGCCAGUCUGCGUGGAGCCGACCUUGAAAUACCACCCUUUAAUGUUUGAUGUUCUAACCUGGCGCCGUAAUCCGGCGUGGGGACAGUGUCUGGUGGGUAGUUUGACUGGGGCGGUCUCCUCCCAAAGUGUAACGGAGGAGCACGAAGGUCAGCUAAUCCUGGUCGGACAUCAGGAGGUUAGUGCAAUGGCAUAAGCUGGCUUGACUGCGAGAGUGACGGCUCGAGCAGGUGCGAAAGCAGGUCAUAGUGAUCCGGUGGUUCUGUAUGGAAGGGCCAUCGCUCAACGGAUAAAAGGUACUCCGGGGAUAACAGGCUGAUACCGCCCAAGAGUUCAUAUCGACGGCGGUGUUUGGCACCUCGAUGUCGGCUCAUCACAUCCUGGGGCUGAAGUAGGUCCCAAGGGUAUGGCUGUUCGCCAUUUAAAGUGGUACGCGAGCUGGGUUUAGAACGUCGUGAGACAGUUCGGUCCCUAUCUGCCGUGGGCGCUGGAGAAUUGAGGGGGGCUGCUCCCAGUACGAGAGGACCGGAGUGGACGCAUCACUGGUGUUCGGGUUGUCAUGCCAAUGGCACUGCCCGGUAGCUAAAUGCGGAAGAGAUAAGUGCUGAAAGCAUCUAAGCACGAAACUUGCCCCGAGAUGAGUUCU